GAUGAACGCUGGCGGCGUGCCUAAUACAUGCAAGUCGAGCGAACGGACGAGAAGCUUGCUUCUCUGAUGUUAGCGGCGGACGGGUGAGUAACACGUGGAUAACCUACCUAUAAGACUUGGAUAACUUCGGGAAACCGGAGCUAAUACCGGAUAAUAUUUUGAACCGCAUGGUUCAAAAGUGAAAGACGGUCUUGCUGUCACUUAUAGAUGGAUCCGCGCUGCAUUAGCUAGUUGGUAAGCUAACGGCUUACCAAGGCAACGAUGCAUAGCCGACCUGAGAGGGUGAUCGGCCACACUGGAACUGAGACACGGUCCAGACUCCUACGGGAGGCAGCAGUAGGGAAUCUUCCGCAAUGGGCGAAAGCCUGACGGAGCAACGCCGCGUGAGUGAUGAAGGUCUUCGGAUCGUAAAACUCUGUUAUUAGGGAAGAACAUAUGUGUAAGUAACUGUGCACAUCUUGACGGUACCUAAUCAGAAAGCCACGGCUAACUACGUG
This 497-nucleotide ribosomal RNA is filed under the name uncultured bacterium. Its description in RNAcentral is "partial 16S ribosomal RNA". It matches the Rfam family "Bacterial small subunit ribosomal RNA", at positions 28 to 507 of the family's 1533-position model. The record is from RNAcentral.